GACAGGUGCUGCAUGGCUGUCGUCAGCUCGUGUUGUGAAAUGUUGGGUUAAGUCCCGCAACGAGCGCAACCCUUAUCCUUUGUUGCCAGCGGUCCGGCCGGGAACUCAAAGGAGACUGCCAGUGAUAAACUGGAGGAAGGUGGGGAUGACGUCAAGUCAUCAUGGCCCUUACGAGUAGGGCUACACACGUGCUACAAUGGCGCAUACAAAGAGAAGCGACCUCGCGAGAGCAAGCGGACCUCAUAAAGUGCGUCGUAGUCCGGAUUGGAGUCUGCAACUCGACUCCAUGAAGUCGGAAUCGCUAGUAAUCGUGGAUCAGAAUGCCACGGUGAAUACGUUCCCGGGCCUUGUACACACCGCCCGUCACACCAUGGGAGUGGGUUGCAAAAGAAGUAGGUAGCUUAACCUUCGGGAGGGCGCUUACCACUUUGUGACUCAUGACUGGGGUG
This 449-nucleotide ribosomal RNA is filed under the name uncultured soil bacterium. Its description in RNAcentral is "bacterial SSU rRNA". It matches the Rfam family "Bacterial small subunit ribosomal RNA", at positions 1033 to 1482 of the family's 1533-position model. The record is from RNAcentral.